AGUGAACGCUGGCGGUAGGCCUAACACAUGCAAGUCGAACGGCAGCACAGUAAGAGCUUGCUCUUACGGGUGGCGAGUGGCGGACGGGUGAGGAAUACAUCGGAAUCUACUUUUUCGUGGGGGAUAACGUAGGGAAACUUACGCUAAUACCGCAUACGACCUACGGGUGAAAGCAGGGGAUCUUCGGACCUUGCGCGAUUGAAUGAGCCGAUGUCGGAUUAGCUAGUUGGCGGGGUAAAGGCCCACCAAGGCGACGAUCCGUAGCUGGUCUGAGAGGAUGAUCGGCCACACUGGAACUGAGACACGGUCCAGACUCCUACGGGAGGCAGCAGUGGGAAAUAUUGAAAAAUGGCGCAAGCCUGAUCCAGCCAUACCGCGUGGGUGAAGAAGGCCUUCGGGUUGUAAAGCCCUUUUGUUGGGAAAGAAAAGCAGCAGGUUAAUACCCCGCUGUUCUGACGGUACCCAAAGAAUAAGCACCGGCUAACUUCGUG
Molecule: ribosomal RNA, 491 nt
Filed under: uncultured bacterium
Lineage: Bacteria
Description: partial 16S ribosomal RNA
Rfam family: Bacterial small subunit ribosomal RNA
Source: RNAcentral